RNAcentral lists this ribosomal RNA (519 nucleotides) under uncultured eukaryote. Its description in RNAcentral is "SSU rRNA". It matches the Rfam family "Eukaryotic small subunit ribosomal RNA", at positions 1161 to 1699 of the family's 1831-position model. The record is from RNAcentral.
AGGGCACCACCAGGAGUGGAGCCUGCGGCUUAAUUUGACUCAACACGGGAAAACUCACCCGGCCCGGACACUGGAAGGAUUGACAGAUUGAGAGCUCUUUCUUGAUUCAGUGGGUGGUGGUGCAUGGCCGUUCUUAGUUGGUGGAGUGAUUUGUCUGGUUAAUUCCGAUAACGAACGAGACUCUAGCCUAUUAAAUAGAUUGCCGGGUCACAAACGCCCGCAAGACUUCUUAGAGGGACAGGCGGCGACUCAACCGCACGAAACAGAGCAAUAACAGGUCUGUGAUGCCCUUAGAUGUCCGGGGCCGCACGCGCGCUACACUGAAGUGAUCAGCGUGCUUUUUCAACCUACUCUGUCAAGAGUGGGGAACCCAAUGAACCUUCUUCGUGAUUGGGAUAGGGGAUUGUAAUUAUUCCCCUUGAACGAGGAAUUCCCAGUAAGCGCGAGUCAUAAGCUCGCGUUGAUUACGUCCCUGCCCUUUGUACACACCGCCCGUCGCUACUACCGAUUGAAUGUUUU